GACGAACGCUGGCGGCGUGCUUAACACAUGCAAGUCGAACGGAAAGGCCCCGCUUUUGUGGGGUGCUCGAGUGGCGAACGGGUGAGUAACACGUGAGUAACCUGCCCUUGACUUUGGGAUAACUUCAGGAAACUGGGGCUAAUACCGGAUAGGAGCUCCUGCUGCAUGGUGGGGGUUGGAAAGUUUCGGCGGUUGGGGAUGGACUCGCGGCUUAUCAGCUUGUUGGUGGGGUAGUGGCUUACCAAGGCUUUGACGGGUAGCCGGCCUGAGAGGGUGACCGGCCACAUUGGGACUGAGAUACGGCCCAGACUCCUACGGGAGGCAGCAGUGGGGAAUAUUGCACAAUGGGCGGAAGCCUGAUGCAGCAACGCCGCGUGCGGGAUGACGGCCUUCGGGUUGUAAACCGCUUUCGCCUGUGACGAAGCGUGAGUGACAGUAAUGGGUAAAGAAGCACCGGCUAACUACGUG
This 468-nucleotide ribosomal RNA is filed under the name uncultured bacterium. RNAcentral describes it as "partial 16S ribosomal RNA". It matches the Rfam family "Bacterial small subunit ribosomal RNA", at positions 28 to 507 of the family's 1533-position model. The record is from RNAcentral.